UACGUAGGGUGCAAGCGUUAAUCGGAAUUACUGGGCGUAAAGCGUGCGCAGGCGGUUUUGUAAGUCUGACGUGAAAUCCCCGGGCUCAACCUGGGAAUUGCGUUGGAGACUGCAAGGCUAGAAUCUGGCAGAGGGGGGUAGAAUUCCACGUGUAGCAGUGAAAUGCGUAGAGAUGUGGAGGAACACCGAUGGCGAAGGCAGCCCCCUGUGUCAAGAUUGACGCUCAUGCACGAAAGCGUGGGGAGCAAACAGG
RNAcentral lists this ribosomal RNA (253 nucleotides) under uncultured bacterium. Its description in RNAcentral is "partial 16S ribosomal RNA". It matches the Rfam family "Bacterial small subunit ribosomal RNA", at positions 524 to 776 of the family's 1533-position model. The record is from RNAcentral.